Molecule: ribosomal RNA, 460 nt
Filed under: uncultured bacterium
Lineage: Bacteria
Description: partial 16S ribosomal RNA
Rfam family: Bacterial small subunit ribosomal RNA
Source: RNAcentral
CCUACGGGAGGCAGCAGUGAGGAAUAUUGGUCAAUGGACGAGAGUCUGAACCAGCCAAGUAGCGUGAAGGAUGACUGCCCUAUGGGUUGUAAACUUCUUUUAUAUGGGAGUAAAACAGGGUAUGCAUACACUAUUGUAUGUACCAUAUGAAUAAGGAUCGGCGAACUCCGUGCCAGCGGCCGCGGUAAUACGGAGGAUCCGAGCGUUAUACGGAUUUAUUGGGUUUAAAGGGAGCGUAGGUGGAUUGUUAAGUCAGUUGUGAAAGUUUUCGGCUCAACCGUAAAAUUGCAGUUGAAACUGGCAGUCUUGAGUACAGUAGAGGUGAGCGGAAUUCGUGGUGUAGCGGUGAAAUGCUUAGAUAUCACGAAGAACUCCGAUUGCGAAGGCAGCUCACUGGACUGCAACUGACACUGAUGCUCGAAAGUGUGGGUAUCAAACAGGAUUAGAUACCCCUGUAGUC